GGAGCAAACAGGAUUAGAUACCCUGGUAGUCCAUGCCGUAAACGAUGUCUACUAGCCGUUGGUCUCUUUGAGGGAUUAGUGGCGCAGCUAACGCGAUAAGUAGACCGCCUGGGGAGUACGGUCGCAAGACUAAAACUCAAAUGAAUUGACGGGGGCCCGCACAAGCGGUGGAGCAUGUGGUUUAAUUCGAUGCAACGCGAAGAACCUUACCUGGUCUUGACAUAGUAAGAACUUUCCAGAGAUGGAUUGGUGCCUUCGGGAACUUACAUACAGGUGCUGCAUGGCUGUCGUCAGCUCGUGUCGUGAGACGUUGGGUUAAGUCCCGCAACGAGCGCAACCCUUUUCCUUAUUUGCCAGCACUUUGGGUGGGAACUUUAAGGAUACUGCCAGUGACAAACUGGAGGAAGGCGGGGACGACGUCAAGUCAUCAUGGCCCUUACGACCAGGGCUACACACGUGCUACAAUGGUCGGUACAAAGGGUUGCUACCUAGCGAUAGGAUGCUAAUCUCAAAAAGCCGAUCGUAGUCCGGAUUGGAGUCUGCAACUCGACUCCAUGAAGUCGGAAUCGCUAGUAAUCGCGGAUCAGAAUGCCGCGGUGAAUACGUUCCCGGGCCUUGUACACACCGCCCGUCACACCAUGGGAGUUUGUUGCACCAGAAGUGGAUAGUCUAACUGCAAAGAGGACGUUCACCACGGUGUGGCCGAUGACUGGGGUGAAGUCGUA
Molecule: ribosomal RNA, 725 nt
Filed under: uncultured bacterium
Lineage: Bacteria
Description: bacterial SSU rRNA
Rfam family: Bacterial small subunit ribosomal RNA
Source: RNAcentral